Molecule: long non-coding RNA, 7646 nt
Filed under: Linum usitatissimum (flax)
Lineage: Eukaryota; Viridiplantae; Streptophyta; Magnoliopsida; Malpighiales; Linaceae
Description: long non-coding RNA (LUSI_LNC002871)
Source: RNAcentral
UUUGAAGUCGCUAAAGACCUCUUCUACAGUUCGAGGUACUGGGUGCGGUAUCCCCUCCAUGGCGCGUUUGAAGCUGGUUUUUCUAUCUGUUUUUAUUUUUUGGGAUGAAUUUGAAAGGAACUUAUCUUCUGGGUAUUAAAUUGCUCUCAGUCUUCCAGAGUGAGCAUAGACAGAUAGAAAUGCAGGCGAGAUGGAUUGUGCGUAACUGAAAAGGAUAAUAACAAGAGAAAGGACAAAAUUGAAAGAAGGAAUUAGGGUUUGGAGAGAAAUCAAAAGGCAGGAGUAGUAUGAUUUUGAUUAAGAGGAAUUAGGUCUAGGGUUUGCAAAGUCUAUUUCUUUUCCAGAUUUGGGGAGAAAGCAGAGAAAAAAAAAAGAGGAGGUAGGAAGGAAGGAGAGGAUGGAGGAGAGAAGGAGGAGCGGACGGAGCGAGCAAUCCACUCUGUGCAUCAAUAAGUUUGAAAUUUUGGAUUGUUAUUUCUUUUUAUUAUUAUCAGUUAAUAAUUCCCCCAAAUUUCCUAAAGGGAAAGGGACAGAAACAUUCUGUUAAGUUCCUAUAGUUUUACACAUGAGCUUCUAAGUCCUUCAACUUGUAUAGGAAACAACGGGUCUAUUUAUUUUUCGUCGAAGAAGAGAAAAGUGUUAGUCCGAAGACAGAAUACAGUACCGUAAAGGGAUCGAAAAAUUAGCGUCCGGAUAACAAAGAGGCUCACGUGCCACUAAACGGGAGACAUAGUUAUCCCGUCAGGAAACAAAACAAAGUGAAACUAUUGAGAGGGUCCGGUGCAGGAGGUGACAUUCGGUUAGUAGUUGACCUGCUCUUGCGUCCCUGAUCGAAGAGUUGAUGAGACGAACGGCUUCGUCAAAACUGGAGUAGAUGGAGACGUUCUCGUCAGGUCUAGCGGUGGCUGCCUAGAAUGCUUGACUGAAACGUGUGAUUCUUUGAGAACACAAGUUAGAAUUUCCUAGCUGAGUCUUCUUUAUUGUUUUGUGCUGUUAACUAAGUCAACAAUUAUCCAAAAGUACCUUUAAUUUAACAUUUAAAAAAGAGCGUUUGAGAUGAAUCUUAGUUCAUUACAUCUGAUGGUAGUACACUAGGAAGCCAAGUAAUGAAUAUGCAAACAUUACCUGUACCUCUUAACAAAGUGUAAGGAAAGCUUAACAUGAUAAGGAUAGGGAAGCACAAUUAACUGAAAAGCCCACUCUUCAGGACGUACUAGUUCAACCUAUAGCGCAAAAGGCCAAAGCAACAUUGUCCUUGGUUCAUAACGAAAAUCAUAGAGCUCAUCCUUCUUCAUCUCCGCAUAACACGAUUACGCUCCCGUUUUCUAAAUCGUUCUAGCAUUAUCUGAUCCGUUGCAGCUUCCCUGCGAGCUGCUGCUCCUGCUUCUGUAUUAUUGUUAUCUGCAGUAGGUUUGGAUACACCUCCAUCCUCCUUUGACGACUUCCCUUCCUUGUUGUACAACUCUGGAUGUUCUGCAACUCCAAAUUAACCACGUUAAACACACACCUGAGUAUACCAAGAUUUCUGACCCCGUUGUAUACUUCAUCAAAUUAUUUAUGCAGAAAAUUGCUUCAAAUGUAUUCACAAGUGAAAAAUCAAGAUGAAUAGAAUAAAAACAAACCUCUUCGGAGUUUCUCGGCGUAAUCUCUGCCGCGCUGGAAAUAAUCAGCACUGUAACUGGAUGGGAUAUUAAAGUCAGAUUUUGCUCUUCCCAUCAACCUCUUCUCCUGCAAUAGCUUCUUGGCUGCUUCUGUUUCUUCAAUGUUUUUCAGCUUAUAUCUAGAACCACAAAAAAACAUGCAGUACAUGAACAAUAGAAUCAUAGAAGUGAAGAUUAGGGAGGACUAGCACACUGUGCAGACGUUUUAAAGGCUUUCUCUUACUGAAUGAGGAUCAUACAAUAAACAAGAAGAAAAGAAAGAUAGGUUAUGCAAUUGUGCAUUUCAGCUCCCCUUUUCCAUAAACCAACCACUAAAAGCCUACCAUUGAAGAAUAACAGCUUCUCCAACCAUACAAAUCCAUCCAAAGAAUCAAAGAAAAAGUUGCAUACUCAAUUGGCAACUGAACUUCCGCAAUGCCUGUAGUCCAUUGAGUAGAGCUCUCUUCUGAGUUACGCUUUUUAACCUGACAAAUAGAUGGUCAAAUUGAGAACAGAUAUUCUAAGUGGUCACAUUGUUUCCAGAACCACGUGAGAAAGGAAAAAGGGCUAGAUAUGAUCCAUGAACUCACUUUAAGAUGUUCAGGGAUUUUGUAUAGUUCAUCCUCAGCCUGCUUUAACUCAUUCUCAACUUGAGCUUCCGUGUCAACGUUCUUUCCUCUUUUCUUAGCUAAUUCCUGCUCAACAUACUUCAACCUGUGAAUCAAUCAAAAGCAGAAUUGUUGUUAAAAUGGAAGCAAAGUGCCCUCAGAGAAAGCUAAUGGUGACAGAACGAACAAGAAGCAGAAACGAAAACUUCAGACUCUUUUAGCUGCUUAAGUUAGGAAGAAGGUUUAAGUAAGCUGAUCAGGAACAGAAGAACACGACUACAGAAGUAAUCUUCAACAGUAAUCCUGCUAUUAAGGGAUAAUAUGGACGGAGUGGUUGUUCAUAACAUAUAUGAAAUCGACUACGUUAUUGGAAACAAAAAUCUGAACGAGGGGAAGUAAGAGAGAGUUACAUGUUGGGGUCUUCAACCAUAACGGCAGUUUCUUGAGCGAAGGUGUCUUGAAGGACGAGCUCCUCCUUUUCCCCAUCUCCUCCUCCGGCGGAAGCAGCAGCUGCGGCGGCUGCAGCGUCGUUACUAUCAGCUAGUUUCUUGGAUAAUGAGGAGGACAGGGAUUGGGACGAGGGAAGCGCAGGGAUUCCAUAUUUCCUCUGUCGCUGUUUCUGAAGGAAUUUGACUUCUUCUAAUGCCAAUCUGGACAAGGGAGAAAAAGAGCGGAGGUAAGAACCCUAAUUUGCUGAAGGAAGAGAACACUGAUGGAAUACAGAACAGUGAAUAUACCUCCUUUCUUCAUCGUCAUCGUUGUCUGAUAAGCUGCUGUUGGGAUUGCUAGGUUGACGGUUUCCGGAUUCUCCUUCCUCCUCUUCUGGAAAAGCCCUCUUCCUGAAAUUCUUGUUCUUCUUAUUCUGCAUCUCUGUUCCAGUGGGCGUAGAGAUGAACAAGCAAAGAUGAUGUUAUCAAAUUAUCAAUCAAAUGACUGCAGACUGCAGUCGUAGCGCCGGUGGGAGGUUAAUAACAACGUUAAAAAGUUGAAGGGGCAAAAGAGUAAGGAACAUCAAGUUUAGUGACUUCAUAUUACUUUUCCCAAUUAAUUUCCAUUUCCUUUCAGCUGCAGAGAGAGAUCUCGCCGUCCCAACUCUCUACUCGUCUAUCGGCUUCCUUGCUUUUUUACUCUCCGGCGGCCGGGUUUCCCUCCUUCCGGCCUGAAGCAAGAACCAGAGGAGUCUCAGUUUCUUCUAACUUCGUUCCCACAGUGACUACUGGUACUGCAGAAUCUUAUCUGUUUUUCUGCUCUUUAUUUUAAACCAACUGAAUGCCUUGAAUGUAGUCAAAUGAGAUUGGCAUGGCCAUCUUGAUUUGAGAAUGUAGGGAUCGAAGUGUCUUCCUUUGAAGAAACUUCAUAAUCAAGUGUCUAUCUGAGAUGAACUGGAUUUGCUAGAUUUUCCGGCUUCUUAUGCUUCCCUUUCCCUUAUGUUCUUACCCCAAGCUACGAAUGAAACUCAUUUACCGCAUAUAUUCAACCAAUUUACUCCAUUGAUGGUUGGUUGUUGUCGGCUGAUCAUUAGUAAAAUUUUCUCCUUUGCUUUAUGAGUCAGUUAGCUGAUUUCAGUUCUAUUUAUCGAAUAUUACUGUCAACUGUUUGCUUUACCGGCAUUCGAUGCCUACCCUUUGUCAUUGAUUUUGGUUCCACCUUAAUUCAUUCCUACCCUCCCUCAAUUUCAACAUUACAUACAAAUCACAAUAUCAACCUUGAUACCACGACACCUAUAAUUCCAAGUUCCAACGACUAUCCCAGAUUCCAGACAACAUCAGCUGAAGGAAACCAUUAAGCCGAUAAUAAGAUUACUCAAAAAAGGGCAGAAGAGAAUAACUAAAGAACAAAUAUUAACACCUUGGCAAAAAGGAUAAUAAUAGAUAAAUAUUCCGAUCACCAGUCAUUUUCGUUACUUCCUAAAAAUGGGCGCCUAAACUGGGCCAGUUGGUUAAGUUUUUCCACUUUUAAAACAGCUUCUGCAACCAAACUUACGGAUCACCAAAAUUAAAAAGAAAAGCUUCUUCUUCUUCACAACAUCACCUUCUUCUUCUUCUUCUUCUUCUUCUUCCUAAUCACCUCCCUAAACUCUUGCCCUCUUGCCACUGCACCCUGGGCAUUUAUACUGCUUGAUGUGCUCCGCCUUUGCUGGUGUAAUCUUCACGCAUUUCCCGUGAAACCAUCUCUCACAUAUAUCGCAGCAGAUCCAGAAUUCGUCAGUUCCAUAGCUUUCACCACAUGCCCCACACGUUGCACCUUGUUCAUCAUCCUCUUCAUCCUCUUCCCCGCUCUCAUCUUCCUCCUUCGGUGGUGGUGGAGACAUCUUUACCAUCUUUGUAAGGGGUUCCGGGUGCCGAGAUUGCUUUACAUACCCAACACCAAAGAGUAUAUAUAUGUAAUAAGUUAACCAAAUUCCAGCAAUCAAUAAAAUUGUACAGCAUAAGCAUGUAUGAAUCAAAAGCUCAUAUUCUCUUACCAUCUUCGCACUUAAUUUGCUUUUACUGCUGUUGUUAUGCGUUGCAGAAUGGUCUUUAGGUUGCUUAGCGUUUCCUGACACUACUUCAAAUAUUGUGGGGACUUCAUUUAUCAUCUGAAAAAGUCUCUUCCUGCAAAUAAAAAACCCCCAACUUCAAUCAGCAUCAGACCAUCAAUGAGGUUCCAUGAAACGUAAUUGACAAGUUCAUUAAUGUUAUAAAUGCAGCCAACCAACAAAGCAUAUUUCCAGGUUUCACUCAGCAGGGUAGAUAUUGAGAUACUGAUUCUAUCACAACACCUAGAUAGCCCAAUCGGCAACGACCAAUGUAAUGCAACUUAGACAAGAACUGUACAAUUUAUAAAAAUUGCAAGAUAGAAGAAGUCAGAGGACAAGGGAUAUAUCAUAGUAAAGCUUUCAUCCUGAUUAUAAGGAUCAAAUAUCAUCAUCGACGUGAAAUCACACGGCUAAUCUACUGCAUACAACUUCUUACGGACUGUAUCGCACAAAAUAAGAGCAUAUGAAAAUAACCAUUGCCAUCUUUAUUGUGUCCUCUAAACGUUUGUUCUUCAGUUUACCGACCAGAAUGUAAUGAAUAGUUACAUGCAUGAUGCAAGCAUGCAAAUAUAGAUACUUUUAACCAAUAAAUCAACAUGGAACCCUAUUAAUUUAACACAGAAAUGAGAAAAACAUUUACUGUCUGCUGAACAACUUCGGACUCCUUUAAAAUGUAGAUAGUUGCAACUAGCUAGGUUUUUGCUCUGUUGAGCGUAGUACACUACCAAGACAAGUGGGAUUCAUCAAUUCAUAGAUUGCAGCAAGCAGACAGCUAUAAAACAGGAUUGAACCGUACCUUUCGUUCUUACCAAACCCAAAACGUGCUCCAAAGUAAAAGGCAACAGCAAGCAACCAUGAAUCACUGUGAACUGCAACAAGUGACAACCAAUCCUUCUCUUGCAUCCCAUCUCUAGCAAAAUUAAUGCCUAAUGCAGGCUCAGGAAGCUCAGGCGGUACUUCCUCAACAGGCAAAUUAACUUCCCAGUUCUCAUUUGGAAGUCCAUAAAGACACAGGUUCUCCUUCUCUGUCAAGACAAAGUUAACACAAACCAGAUACAAAUAAAUCAAAAUUCAUGCCUGACAAGUAAAACCAAAGAGCUAAGAGGAAAACAUCCUCUGUAACUAAAAUUACUAAACCAGAACAAACUCUGAUGGAUGGGAAAAAGUGAAGAACGCUAUGGUCAAAAAUAUUGAGGAGAAAUUAGAAACUACUAACUGGGACAGCAUCUAUACCACAAACCCCCGCAUAAUCAUAGAGUAGUAUAACAGGCAAUUAAUUACCAGAUGGUCACAUGUAAUUCAAUCACGGUGAAUAUUAAUAACAUACUUUAGCUACCAUACCUACACCACACAUUCAUAUCAAACCACAUCAUCCAAUGCUACACCACCCACUGGAAUACAAGAGUCUAGAAGCUAACAACAAUGCAAAUUUUUUGGGCAUGUACAUACAAAAGGGGAUAUGAAGUCUUUAAAAGCAUGUCUUUCUUCUGCGAGCACAUGAACGCAUGCAAGAACGCACUGAAGAGAAAGAAUACAGCAAACAAACCACCAUCAAGAAUGGAGGAAAGUAAGUGUACUGUUCGCCACAUUUUAACUAUAAUGGUUUGGUACACUAGCUGUACAGAAGCUAAAACACAUAAAAAAACAGAGAAGCCAAUACCCACAUAAAAGUGCUGGACAGUGAAAACCGGUUUGGUUUGAAAACAUAGAAAAAUUUUAAAUGUCAGGAUGUAGCAAUUACUCUUAAUCAUAAAAGUUUAGUCUAACUACAUCAGUCUUUACAGCCAUCAAGCGCUCAAAAGACCAAAUGCCAGGCUUCACAUUAGUUAAGUAACUGAGGUGCUUGCGUAGCUCAAGUCCACCUGCAGUUUCAAUAAGCAACCCGAAGGACAAACACAAGCAGACUACAAUAUAACAAGAAAUAAAGCUGUGUUUCAGGCAUUACAUUUCAACCAAGCAGGCUAACCACACUAGUCAAGCUACAACUUUGAUAAUACUCAUGGAUAAAAAGUUAAACCGUAAACGUUUUAGGUUUUACAGACAUAACAAAUGACGACAAAAAUCAGUCAUGGCCACUGAUUAUCCAAUGUGAUUGAUUGCGUUAAGCACAAAUUUCAAGAAGGACCAACAAACAUGGAACGAACUAUUAAUCCAAAAUGCUCCAGCUAAAGAGGCUGGAUUAAACUCAAACUUAAACCGCCGUGCAGAGAAAACCAUUGAUAAGAACAAUAAAUAAAGCACAUGGUAAUAACACUUCUAAUGACCGAAUUCAACCUUCAAAAUAAAAACAUUUGCAGAAUUUGCAGCAUUACAAAGCCAAUACCCACUUCAUAAUUCUGGAGUUGUAUUCUUUUUAGAGAUAUUAUAGAGAGAGAGAGAGAGAAAAUUUAAACGGAUAACCGGAACCCACCAGGGUCACACUGCUGGUAAAACUUCUCAACAUCUGCAAGAGGAAAUCAAAAACAUCAGAAGAUAAUUACCAUCAGGAGAUAAUUACAACCAGAAAGAGAUGCAGACGUCCAAUCUAAAUAAAAGUUAAAAACAUAAGCCAAUUGGAGAAAUACGAAGAAAGUACGAAAACAGAGAGGCAGGGGGGGGAAAGAGACCCAUAGUGAGAGCCUUGAUUAAUCCAGCGCGGCCGCCGCCUCAGUAAAGGACAAAAUUGAAAGAAGGAAUUAGGGUUUGGAGAGAAAUCAAAAGGAGGAGUAGUAUGAUUUUAAUUGAAAGGAAAUUAGGUCUAGGGUUUGCAAAGUCUAUUUUUUUCAGAUUUGGGGAGAAAGCCAAAAUAAAAGAGGAGGUAGGAAGGAAGCAGGGGAUGGAGGAGAGAAGGAGGAGAGCGGACGGGAGUCUGGAUAGCCAGCAAAUAAAAGGAGUAUUUGC